This 346-nucleotide long non-coding RNA is filed under the name Numida meleagris (helmeted guineafowl). RNAcentral describes it as "lncRNA (ENSNMEG00000010795.1)". The record is from RNAcentral. Lineage: Eukaryota; Metazoa; Chordata; Aves; Galliformes; Numididae.
AUUUUCAUUCCAUAAAACAGAAUGAAAAUUAUAUGUUGCUCUUGUUCAGCACUUUAAGCUGUUCUUGCGUUUUUCCUCAGAUGAAAAUGUCCUUUAUGCAGACCUCAUCACAAAAAAUAGGAUGUUUUCUGCUGAAAGAUUUUGGGUGCCAAACUACAACCCAACACCUUCCCAAGGAAUUUAAGGAUCAGCCCCUGGGAGCUCUGGAAGAGUGAGGAUCUCAGGUGUCCAAUUCCCUCCUGGCCUCAGCAGUGGAAGAACUUUUAUUCCACUAAUAUUUGAAGAAAACAUUUAAUAGAAAAGAAACGUCAAUAAAGUGUUAAUAUUUGUAAUCUUGGUUUCCUGU